This 1040-nucleotide ribosomal RNA is filed under the name Anaerococcus sp. enrichment culture clone MRHull-FeSM-02D. RNAcentral's name for it is "bacterial SSU rRNA". It matches the Rfam family "Bacterial small subunit ribosomal RNA", at positions 336 to 1397 of the family's 1533-position model. Lineage: Bacteria; Bacillati; Bacillota; Tissierellia; Tissierellales; Peptoniphilaceae. The record is from RNAcentral.
CUCCUACGGGAGGCAGCAGUGGGGAAUUUUGCACAAUGGGGGCAACCCUGAUGCAGCGACGCCGCGUGAUUUAGAAGGCCUUCGGGUUGUAAAAAUCUUUUGUAUAGGAAGAAAAUGACAGUACUAUACAAAUAAGGUCCGGCUAAUUACGUGCCAGCAGCCGCGGUAAUACGUAAGGACCGAGCGUUGUCCGGAAUCAUUGGGCGUAAAGGGUACGUAGGCGGUUAGAAAAGUUAGAAGUGAAAGGCUAUAGCUCAACUAUAGUAAGCUUUUAAAACUGUUUAACUUGAGAGAUGGAAGGGAAAGUGGAAUUCCUAGUGUAGCGGUGAAAUGCGCAGAUAUUAGGAGGAAUACCGGUGGCGAAGGCGACUUUCUGGCCAUUAUCUGACGCUGAGGUACGAAAGCGUGGGUAGCAAACAGGAUUAGAUACCCUGGUAGUCCACGCCGUAAACGAUGAGUGUUAGGUGUCUGGAGUAAAUCUGGGUGCCGCAGCUAACGCAAUAAACACUCCGCCUUGGGAGUACGCACGCAAGUGUGAAACUCAAAGGAAUUGACGGGGACCCGCACAAGCAGCGGAGCAUGUGGUUUAAUUCGAAGCAACGCGAAGAACCUUACCAAGUCUUGACAUAUUUCGGAGGGAAUUAGAGAUAAUUUCUUAGAGCUUCGGCUCACUGAAAUACAGGUGGUGCAUGGUUGUCGUCAGCUCGUGUCGUGAGAUGUUGGGUUAAGUCCCAUAACGAGCGCAACCCCUAUGGCUAGUUACCAUCAUUAAGUUGGGGACUCUAGCAAUACUGCCGGUGACAAACCGGAGGAAGGUGGGGAUGACGUCAAAUCAUCAUGCCCUAUAUGACUUGGGCUACACACGUGCUACAGUGGCAGGUACAGAGGGCAGCGAGACGGUGACGUCAAGCAAACCUCAAAAAGCCUGUCCCAGUUCGGAUUGCACUCUGCAACUCGAGUGCAUGAAGUUGGAGUUGCUAGUAAUCGCAGAUCAGAAUGCUGCGGUGAAUGCGUUCCCGGGUCUUGUACACACCGCCCGU